UGCUGCCUCAGCGGCUCUGACGCGGUGGAUGCUGGAGCAGGCAGUUCUGCGCAUGUGCGGCGCUCUUCCCCAGGAACUGGCGAGAGGUCACGCCUAACCCCGGCCGCUAGGAGGUCCCUGGAGGGGAAGAACAGGCCGCUGCUGAGAGGGAUUGACCUGGGAGGCACGUCAGGGUGCAUGGACUGCUCCAGCGCCCCAAUUUACUGCUUCUCACCCCCACACGGCAGGCUGGUCUGAAGACACAGAAGAUGUGCAGAAUGACUAUGCUGAAUUACAGAGCCUUUUGCAAGAAAUGCAGUCCAGUCAUUUCCAAGCAUUCAUAAAAGCAAGGUGUGGUCAACACAGAGGACAUGUGGCAAUCACACUUUGACCUCAGAAAAACACUUUUGGUUAACCGCCAAGAGUGAGCCCUGCUUCCUUCUCAGAGCCGUCCCUGACUAAUUUGUUCAACCGUGUCGUGCCCACACAGACUGGAAGA
Lynx canadensis (Canada lynx) is the source of this 478-nucleotide long non-coding RNA. RefSeq lists it as uncharacterized. The record is from RefSeq and is a predicted model, not a curated record. The transcript is spliced from 3 exons. NCBI's taxonomy places the organism in Eukaryota, Metazoa, Chordata, Mammalia, Carnivora, Felidae.